Molecule: non-coding RNA, 86 nt
Organism: Podarcis lilfordi (Lilford's wall lizard)
Lineage: Eukaryota; Metazoa; Chordata; Lepidosauria; Squamata; Lacertidae
Source: the annotation of a GenBank genome assembly
UCCCAUAUUAGCUCAGUGAUAGACCAUCUGCCUUGAAUGCAGGAGGUCCCUGGUGCAAUCUCUGACAUCUCCAGGUAGGGCUGGAA